UACGGAGGGUGCAAGCGUUAUCCGGAAUCAUUGGGUUUAAAGGGUCCGCAGGCGGAUUUAUAAGUCAGUGGUGAAAGCCUCUUGCUCAACAAGGGAACUGCCAUUGAUACUGUAAGUCUUGAAUCUGGUCGAAGUGGGCGGAAUAUGACAUGUAGCGGUGAAAUGCUUAGAUAUGUCAUAGAACACCGAUAGCGAAGGCAGCUCACUAGUCCAGUAUUGACGCUCAUGGACGAAAGCGUGGGGAGCAAACAGG
RNAcentral lists this ribosomal RNA (253 nucleotides) under uncultured bacterium. RNAcentral describes it as "partial 16S ribosomal RNA". It matches the Rfam family "Bacterial small subunit ribosomal RNA", at positions 524 to 776 of the family's 1533-position model. The record is from RNAcentral.